This 464-nucleotide ribosomal RNA is filed under the name Vreelandella stevensii. RNAcentral's name for it is "partial 16S ribosomal RNA". It matches the Rfam family "Bacterial small subunit ribosomal RNA", at positions 338 to 795 of the family's 1533-position model. The record is from RNAcentral. Lineage: Bacteria; Pseudomonadati; Pseudomonadota; Gammaproteobacteria; Oceanospirillales; Halomonadaceae.
CCUACGGGGGGCAGCAGUGGGGAAUAUUGGACAAUGGGGGCAACCCUGAUCCAGCCAUGCCGCGUGUGUGAAGAAGGCCCUCGGGUUGUAAAGCACUUUCAGUGAGGAAGAACGCCUGGUGGUUAAUACCCAUCAGGAAAGACAUCACUCACAGAAGAAGCACCGGCUAACUCCGUGCCAGCAGCCGCGGUAAUACGGAGGGUGCGAGCGUUAAUCGGAAUUACUGGGCGUAAAGCGCGCGUGGGUGGCUUGAUAGCCGGUUGUGAAAGCCCCGGGCUCAACCUGGGAACGGCAUCCGGAACUGUCAAGCUAGAGUGCAGGAGAGGAAGGUAGAAUUCCCGGUGUAGCGGUGAAAUGCGUAGAGAUCGGGAGGAAUACCAGUGGCGAAGGCGGCCUUCUGGACUGACACUGACACUGAGGUGCGAAAGCGUGGGUAGCAAACAGGAUUAGAUACCCUUGUAGUC